GGAAGCUCUCCACUGGAGCUGAAAGUGAUUCUCAGUCUCACUUCUUGUUCGCUAGUGCCUAUCAUAUCACCUAUGCGUCAGGACGGAGCUUGUACUAAUGUUGGGUUAUGCAUACGAAGCGAAUUAUGUUAGUCUCUGAUUAUUCUUUAAGAGCCUUCAAGUGUUU
Tripterygium wilfordii is the source of this 166-nucleotide long non-coding RNA. RefSeq lists it as uncharacterized. Lineage: Eukaryota; Viridiplantae; Streptophyta; Magnoliopsida; Celastrales; Celastraceae. The record is from RefSeq and is a predicted model, not a curated record. The transcript has 2 exons.